AUUUUUUAAACAAUAAAUUUUUUUUAAUUGUACAAAUUUUUCUAGUGGGCGUUUGGUUGGGGGAUUGGAGGGAGGUAACUAACAGAGUAACGCUGAUAACUCUAGGGCAUGUUUGGUUCGAAGUCGGAAUCGAAAUCGAAAUCGGAAUCAAAUAAGCUGGAAUCGGAAUCGGAAUCGGAAUGACUUAUUAUCUAAUUCUGUUUGGUUCAUCAUCUGAAUCGGAAUCGAAAUAUAAUCAUUCCCAUUGUCGUCGUUUGGUUCAAGUGGAUAUAAAAUACGUAAUCAAAUUAAUAUACUGACAUUAUCUUUAUAAUAUAUUAAUUUAAAUUCAAAUUAAAAAUUAAAUAUUAAAAAUUUACAUUAAAAUUUUGAAAUAAUGUCAAAAUUUUAAAUCUAUCUUUUUUUAAAAAAAAUUAAACUU
RNAcentral lists this long non-coding RNA (421 nucleotides) under Ananas comosus (pineapple). Its description in RNAcentral is "long non-coding RNA (ACOM_LNC000857)". Lineage: Eukaryota; Viridiplantae; Streptophyta; Magnoliopsida; Poales; Bromeliaceae. The record is from RNAcentral.